GUGGGGAAUCUUCCACAAUGGACGAAAGUCUGAUGGAGCAACGCCGCGUGAGUGAAGAAGGGUUUCGGCUCGUAAAGCUCUGUUGUCGGGGACGAAUGUGCAGUAUUUGAAUAAAGUAGUGCAAUGACGGUACCUGACGAGGAAGCCACGGCUAACUACGUGCCAGCAGCCGCGGUAAUACGUAGGUGGCAAGCGUUGUCCGGAAUUAUUGGGCGUAAAGGGAGCGCAGGCGGGAAGGUAAGUCGGUCUUAAAAGUGCGGGGCUCAACCCCGUGAUGGGAUCGAAACUAUCUUUCUUGAGUGCAGGAGAGGAAAGUGGAAUUCCUAGUGUAGCGGUGAAAUGCGUAGAUAUUAGGAGGAACACCAGUGGCGAAGGCGACUUUCUGGACUGUAACUGACGCUGAGGCUCGAAAGCCAGGGGAGCGAACGGGAUUAGAUACCCGUGUAGUCC
RNAcentral lists this ribosomal RNA (450 nucleotides) under uncultured bacterium. Its description in RNAcentral is "partial 16S ribosomal RNA". It matches the Rfam family "Bacterial small subunit ribosomal RNA", at positions 354 to 796 of the family's 1533-position model. The record is from RNAcentral.